RNAcentral lists this long non-coding RNA (688 nucleotides) under Fragaria vesca (wild strawberry). Its description in RNAcentral is "long non-coding RNA (FVES_LNC002556)". The record is from RNAcentral. Lineage: Eukaryota; Viridiplantae; Streptophyta; Magnoliopsida; Rosales; Rosaceae.
UCCAACAUGUCGGUGGCACUAGCCAAGCCUACAAGGUCGGCUAAACAAGCCUAUAAAUACAUGGACCACUUGUAAUACAAUGUAAUUCAUGAGUGAAUGAAUAUAGAAGCAAGCCAUUCAAAGUGUAGUAGUCCUCCUAUCUAACCACUUCUCCUCCAUCCUCCUAAAACUAUAACCCUUGUCCUAACAAUCAUUCUCUCCCAACUUCUAGCUCCUACAUACUAAAGUCCUAAACACAUGGUCCUAGCCCAUCACAAUACACUAAAUAGCUUCCGCAUAUAACCACAAAUUCUAAUAGUAGUAUUAAACCCACAACAAUCAAUUUCAAACAGUGGUAUCAGAGCCUAGUUCGAUAAAAACCAGUUUAUCAGAGCUUAGGAGAAAAGAACAUGUUUAAAACAGUGUCCUAUCCCAUCACAUAUUAAAAACUUCCACAUAAACUCUUGCAAAUUCUAAUAGUGGUAUAAACCCACAACAAUUUCUAAAAACAAGCAACCUAAUUCAAAGUUACCUGAGUCGUUGUGAAUUGACUAGUUUUAUCCCUUGUAUAUUCAUUUUCUACAUCACUGGGAGUUGAUGUAGCCACCUGAAAACAAAAAAGAGAUAACCCAACAGAGUUGGUUUCAUUAGGUGAUCAAAUGAAUUUUAACGAUGGGUGAUUACUAUAGAAGAGAGGUAAGAAACUUAC